Molecule: long non-coding RNA, 802 nt
Organism: Oncorhynchus tshawytscha (Chinook salmon)
Lineage: Eukaryota; Metazoa; Chordata; Actinopteri; Salmoniformes; Salmonidae
Source: Ensembl
UGAAGGCUGAGGGCUGAAGGCUGAGGGCUGAAGGCUGAGGGCUGAGGGCUGAGGGCUGAGGGCUGAGGGCUGAGGGCUGAGGGCUGAAGGCUGAGGGCUGAGGGCUGAGGGCUGAGGGCUGAAGGCUGAGGGCUGAGGGCUGAGGGCUGGGGGCUGGGGGCUGAAGGCUGAGGGCAGAGGGCUGAGGGUUGAAAGCUGAGGGCUGAGGUCUGAGGGCCAAGGGUUGAAGGCUGAGGGCUGAGGGCUGAAGGCUGAGGGCUGAGGUCUGAGGGCUGAGGUCUGAGGUCUGAGGUCUGAGGGCUGAGGGCUAAAGGCUGAGGGCUGAGGGCUGAGGGCUAAGGGCAGAGGGCAGAGGGCAGAGGGUUGAAGGCUGAGGGCUGAGGGCUGAGGGCUGAGGGCUGAGGGCUGAGGGCUGAGGGUUGAAGGCUGAGGGUUGAAGGCUGAGGGCUGAAGGCUGAGGGUUGAAGGCUGAGGGUUGAAGGCUGUGGGCUGAGGGCUGAGGGCUGAGGGCUGAGGGCUGAGGGCUGAGGGCAGAGGGUUGAAGGCUGAGGGCUAAGGGCAGAGGGCAGAGGGCAGAGGGCUGAGGGCAGAGGGUUGAAGGCUGAGGGUUGAAGGCUGUGGGCUGAGGGCUGAGGGCUGAGGGCUGAGGGCAGAGGGCAGAGGGCUGAGGGUUGAAGGCUGAGGGUUGAAGGCUGAGGGUUGAAGGCUGAGGGUUGAAGGCUGUGGGCUGAGGGCUGAGGGCUGAGGGCUAAACCGCAGCUCUUCCUGUUACCGUAUGUUUGUUCCUCCUCUAGGCUCACCG